UAUGAUCCAGAGUACCACGGGACACGUGAAACCCUGUGGGAAGCAGGAGGGACCACCCUCCAAGGCUAAAUACUACCUAGUGACCGAUAGCGUAUAGUACCGUGAGGGCAAGGUGAAAAGAACCCCGGGAGGGGAGUGAAAUAGAACCUGAAACCCUGCACUUACAAGCUGUGGAAGCACAUUUCUUGUGUGACCGCGUACUUUUUGUAGAACGGGCCAACGAGUUACGUUAAGUAGCAAG
This 241-nucleotide ribosomal RNA is filed under the name Clostridioides difficile. RNAcentral's name for it is "partial 23S ribosomal RNA". It matches the Rfam family "Bacterial large subunit ribosomal RNA", at positions 401 to 644 of the family's 2925-position model. The record is from RNAcentral. Lineage: Bacteria; Bacillati; Bacillota; Clostridia; Peptostreptococcales; Peptostreptococcaceae.